AUAGGCUGUUGCUGACAAGGGCAGCACACAGGAAUUAAGAUCAAACGUGGUUUCUGUUCUUGUCCAGUUUAAUGUCGGACAUGUCCCUUAUCUGGGGACCACACAUUACAUUGAGUUUUGGAACAGGCAAAUGGAAUAAGGGCUUGCUCGGGGCUCUUGUGUUGCAGCGGUUGUGUCCCUAG
Small nuclear RNA from Stegostoma tigrinum, 182 nucleotides. RefSeq annotates it as U2 spliceosomal RNA. Lineage: Eukaryota; Metazoa; Chordata; Chondrichthyes; Orectolobiformes; Stegostomatidae. The record is from RefSeq and is a predicted model, not a curated record. The transcript has a single exon.